This is a long non-coding RNA of Cavia porcellus (domestic guinea pig), 1714 nucleotides long. RefSeq lists it as uncharacterized. The record is from RefSeq and is a predicted model, not a curated record. NCBI's taxonomy places the organism in Eukaryota, Metazoa, Chordata, Mammalia, Rodentia, Caviidae. The transcript has 2 exons.
UUCCGCCCCAGACGGGCCCCACCCCGCUCUCAGGCCGGGCCCUAAUCCCCGCCCCGCACACGUCACGCCCCCGGCCUGCAGGCCACGCCCCUUCUGCAAUUCCCAAGGCGGUGCCUGGCUUUCCGCGCCCCACUGUGGAGCGCAGGGUUCCGGAGCGCAGGAAGGAAGUCUUCCUCGCUGUCCAUCCCUCCGGGGGGCGCCCGGGGCAGCUGAGAGCUGGGAAAGGACCAAGCAGAGCCGUGGUGGGAGCACCAGGUUGCCCCACUCGAGGACGAUGAUCUUGAGAACGGAGGACAAGGACAACCUGGAAAGAAUCCCUAGAAGGAGUCCACAGAACUCUAGAACCCAGUGACAUCCUGCCCGCCAUCCUCUCCCACCCAUUCUGAGAUGGAUUCUGUCCCCUGCCAGGACCCUGGCUGGUCCCAGAAAUGACUCCGUUAAACACAGCCUCAGGGCAGAAUCCUGUCUGGGUUCCCACCUGCAUGUGUGCGCAGAGGGAGCAGAAGGGCUGUCAGGAGGUGGCUGCAGCAGGGUUGCUCAGAUGGGCACUGAGGGGCGGAUGGAGCCCAAGCUCUGGGGGUUUCUACUGCUGUUAAAUGUGAUUGCUAUGGCAACUGCUAUAAUUACAAAGACUGUACAGCCAGCUGUUCCUGACUGCCCUGGGGAGUUUACAAAAAAUAGGUAAGCAUGAGGUAUUAAAUUCCUGACUCAAGAUAAAGACACGGUGAAAUUCUUAUCUCUAUGGCCACAGGACACACGAGGUUUUUCUCCAGAUCCUAAACACAGAGGUGCAGGUCACAGUAUUGUGGCUGCAGAGUUUCACUUGCAACCUCGAUGGCUUGCUAGGAUGGAGACGCUGGAUGGGAAGGCAUAGGAUGGGACAUUUGUGAUGAAGACAAUUGGACAGAUACAGAUGAGGCUGAUUCCAAAUCCCAGCACUCCCUGAAAGCAGUAGGGGUGGAAACAGGGUAACCAAGGAGGUGGGAAAUCCUCCUUUAUGCAUUGGGAAGAACCUGGCGACCGUGCAUGAGGCUGAAUUCUACCUACCGGCAGCAAGCAAAUGCAAGGCCACGUGCAAGCCGGGAUGUAGCUCAGCGGCACAGCACCUGCCUGGCAAGCAAGAGGUCGUUAGUUUGAUUCUUGGUACCAAGAAAAACAAAACAAAACAAAACCGCUCAAUACCUCAAAAGCAGUUCAUCAAAGCCAUAGUAACACCAGUCAUUGUCCAAAAGAAUGCAUUUGACUUGAAUAGAUGACACUGAUGUGAUUAGAAUAUUAAUAAUCUUUAAAAGAUUAUAGUUGUUUUGGUUUUGGUAAUUUUUUUUCAGACAAGGUCUCACCAUAUAACUUAGACCAGUCUUGAACUCACGGUGUAGCCCAGGCUGGCCUCGAACUCACAGUGACUCUGGGUCACAAGGACCCCCAGGAGGAAGCUGACCAGUGGUAAGGGAUUAGUUAAGAAAUAUUCAAUGGGUAGGGAAGAAACUGCUCAGAAGGAAGAAAAACAGUGAUGGGAAAAAGGGGAACGGGAGGAAAGGAAAAGAAAAUAUGUAUAUAUACACAAGAUAGUUAAGACAGUUAUGCAGCUGGCUUCCGUUAGCUCACUGAAAAGACAGAUUUAUGCUAACACAUUUAUGGACAUUUCAUGCCUAAACUUGUACUUAGAGCAACUACUCUAACAAUAUGCAAUGUAUUAAAAAUUUUUACUCUCCUA